Molecule: non-coding RNA, 523 nt
Organism: Pelobates cultripes (western spadefoot toad)
Lineage: Eukaryota; Metazoa; Chordata; Amphibia; Anura; Pelobatidae
Source: the annotation of a GenBank genome assembly
AUUUAGUGAGCAUGUGUGUCAGUGAGCUUCUAUUUAGUGAGCAUGUAUGUCAGUGAGCUUGUCUUUAGUGAGCUUGUGUGUGUGUGUCUAAACGUCUUUGUAGUAAGCCUUCUGUUUAUACAAGUGAGUUUGUCUUUUAUAUAUAUAUUUAUAUAGAGAGAGAGAGAGAGACAUGUUUAACAUUUAUAUUAUAAUAUUAUACAAUGCCCUGAUGUGAAAUUAUAGGUAUGUAAUAUUGUGGUGAAAAUAAGACAAUAUUUUAUUAUUCCUCUUUUUUGCUAUAUUCCGAAUAUAAAUACGAUGAAUUAAGGGCAUUUUGCCCUAUCUCUAGUAGACAUUUUAUGUGCCGAUCAUGUGACCGACACGGAACUGUGUUAUCCAUGUCACAGGAAGUGACGCGCCGGUACGGAAGUGACGCGCCGGAAUGAAAGUAAGGGGCGGGACCAGAGGACCUGACGCCCCAGAUGAUGCAUUUCCGGAUGAAUAAAGAAUGAGGCGGACAUGUUGGGGAGGCUUGGUGGGG